GACGGCAAAGUUCCGGAUCGUGCACAUUGACGUCAAUUUUUAGCGACCGCUAAACUGUGGAAGUUUUGUUAAAAAGUUACCACAAAAUUAUGCCAACUUUAGCCGACUUCUUGGAAAUAAAUUAACGCGAGCUUGUUUGUAUUUCAACAAUUAAGUCUAAACAACUCAACAACUUUGGUUUGUUUUUUUGUGGACGAGCACGAAGUCAGCAAUCAAAGUAAUCCUGGACUGGAGGACAUCAGGAACUGAGACCCACUUUUCAAGUGCUUGGACCUUAAGCAUCAAGAUUUGUGUGUGUGAAUAAAAGACACUUUUGCACAUUGUUCAGAUGAGGCUGACGGCUUGGCUGGCGGCGGAGACGGAGUGAGCCCAUGUAUGACCAACUUCAUUUUCAGGACAAAAGUACAAAAUGUAUUAUAAGGCAAGAAAAUAAGGAUAAAUAUAAUAGUAAGGCUGAAUGAAUAUAUGAAUAAUUUGAUAUAAUUUUCAGUUCUUUGUUCUUCCACAUAGACAUGCAACAUUUAAUAACAUGUAAGACACACACACAAACUA
Syngnathus acus (greater pipefish) is the source of this 552-nucleotide long non-coding RNA. RefSeq lists it as uncharacterized. The transcript is spliced from 2 exons. The record is from RefSeq and is a predicted model, not a curated record. NCBI's taxonomy places the organism in Eukaryota, Metazoa, Chordata, Actinopteri, Syngnathiformes, Syngnathidae.